Brienomyrus brachyistius is the source of this 570-nucleotide long non-coding RNA. RefSeq lists it as uncharacterized. Lineage: Eukaryota; Metazoa; Chordata; Actinopteri; Osteoglossiformes; Mormyridae. The record is from RefSeq and is a predicted model, not a curated record. The transcript is spliced from 5 exons.
GUCUGGGGUCCGGGCCUCCUCCGUGUCUGCUUCAUGUUCUGAGGGAUGGGGCUGUGGCUCCCCACACACACUACUAGACAUUUACAUGGAGUAACCUUUUGAACACCAGCGCGCUCACACACACAGGUGUGCACACAGGGGUACAAACAGGUUCUCACAGACACAUACAGGUGUACAAACAGGUUCUCACAGACACACACAGGUGUACAAACAGGUUCUCACAGACACACGCAGGUGUACAAACAGGUUCUCACAGACACAUACAGGUGUACACACAGGUUCUCACAGACACAUACAGGUGUACAAACAGGUUCUCACAGACACAUACAGGUGUACACACAGGUUCUCACAGACACACACAGGUGUACAAACAGGUUCUCACAGACACACACAGGUGUACACACAGGUUCUCACAGACACACACAGGUGUACAAACAGGUUCUCACAGACACACACAGGUGUACACACAGGUUCUCACAGACACACACAGGUGUACAAACAGGUUCUCACAGACACACACAGGUGUACACACAGGUUCUCACAGACACACACAGGUGUACAAACAGGUUC